GAUGAAGAACGUAGCGAAAUGCGAUAAGUAGUGUGAAUUGCAGAAUUCAGUGAAUCAUCGGAUCUUUGAACGCACAUUGCGCCCGCCAGUAUUCUGGCGGGCAUGCCUGUUCGAGCGUCAUUACAACCCUCAGGCCCCCGGGCCUGGCGUUGGGGAUCGGCGGAAGCCCCCUGCGGGCACAACGCCGUCCCCCAAAUACAGUGGCGGUCCCGCCGCAGCUUCCAUUGCGUAGUAGCUAACACCUCGCAACUGGAGAGCGGCGCGGCCACGCCGUAAAACACCCAACUUCUGAAUGUUGACCUCGAAUCAGGUAGGAAUACCCGCUGAACUUAAGCAUAUCAAUAAGCGGAGGA
Molecule: unclassified non-coding RNA, 353 nt
Filed under: soil metagenome
Description: partial contains 5.8S ribosomal RNA, internal transcribed spacer 2, and large subunit ribosomal RNA
Rfam family: 5.8S ribosomal RNA (bases 1-120)
Source: RNAcentral